This 507-nucleotide ribosomal RNA is filed under the name uncultured bacterium. Its description in RNAcentral is "partial 16S ribosomal RNA". The record is from RNAcentral.
GGAGUUAGCCGGUGCUUCUUCUGUGAGUGAUGUCCUUCCUGCCGGCUAUUAACCCGCAGGCCUUCUUCCUCACUGAAAGUGCUUUACAACCCGAAGGCCUUCUUCACACACGCGGCAUGGCUGGAUCAGGGUUGCCCCCAUUGUCCAAUAUUCCCCACUGCUGCCUCCCGUAGGAGUCUGGGCCGUGUCUCAGUCCCAGUGUGGCUGAUCAUCCUCUCAGACCAGCUACGGAUCGUCGCCUUGGUGAGCCGUUACCUCACCAACCAGAUAAUCCGACAUAGGCUCAUCCGAUAGCGCGAGGCCCGAAGGUCCCCCGCUUUCCCCCGUAGGGCGUAUGCGGUAUUAGCCUGGGUUUCCCCAGGUUAUCCCCCACUACCGGGCAGAUUCCUAUGCAUUACUCACCCGUCCGCCGCUCGCCACCAGGGAGCAAGCUCCCCGUGCUGCCGCUCGACUUGCAUGUGUUAGGCCUGCCGCCAGCGUUCAAUCUGAGCCAUAAUCAAACUCUGA